RNAcentral lists this ribosomal RNA (884 nucleotides) under uncultured crenarchaeote. Its description in RNAcentral is "bacterial SSU rRNA". It matches the Rfam family "Archaeal small subunit ribosomal RNA", at positions 51 to 923 of the family's 1478-position model. Lineage: Archaea; Thermoproteati; Thermoproteota. The record is from RNAcentral.
AUGCGAGUUGAUGGGAUACCUAAAGUUCCCAUGGCAAACUGCUCAGUAACACAUGAUCAACUUACCCUAUAGAGAAAAAUAACCUCGGGAAACUGAGGAUAAUGUUUCAUAGUUGAAUUGGCUUGGAAAAGUUUUUCGACGAAAGGGGUAAAAAAAAUGGUUUUUAUCUGCUAUAGGAUAGGAUCGUGUUCGAUUAUGGUUGUUGGUGAGGUAAUGGCUCACCAAGCCGAUAAUCGAUAGGGGCCGUGAGAGCGGGAGCCCCGAGAUGGGUACUGAGACAACGACCCAGGCCUUACGAGGCGCAGCAGGCGCGAAACCUCCGCAAUACACGAAAGUGUGACGGGGUUACCCAAAGUGUUCAUUAGAACUGUGGUAGGUGAGUAAUGUUCCCUACUAGAAAGGAGAGGGCAAGGCUGGUGCCAGCCGCCGCGGUAAAACCAGCUCUUCAAGUGGUCGGGAUAAUUAUUGGGCUUAAAGUGUCCGUAGCCGGUUUAGUAAGUUCCUGGUAAAAUCGGGUAGCUUAACUAUCUAUAUGCUAGGAAUACUACUAUACUAGAGGGCGGGAGAGGUCUGAGGUACUACAGGGGUAGGGGUGAAAUCUUAUAAUCCUUGUUGGACCACCAGUGGCGAAGGCGUCAGACUGGAACGCGCCUGACGGUGAGGGACGAAAGCCAGGGGAGCGAACCGGAUUAGAUACCCGGGUAGUCCUGGCCGUAAACGAUGCAUACUAGGUGAUGGCACGGCCAUGAGCCGUGUCAGUGCCGUAGGGAAACCGUUAAGUGUGCCGCCUGGGAAGUACGGUCGCAAGGCUAAAACUUAAAGGAAUUGGCGGGGGAGCACCACAAGGGGUGAAGCCUGCGGUUCAAUUGGAUUCAACGCCGGAA